Molecule: ribosomal RNA, 48 nt
Filed under: Bacteroides stercorirosoris
Lineage: Bacteria; Pseudomonadati; Bacteroidota; Bacteroidia; Bacteroidales; Bacteroidaceae
Source: RNAcentral
UCACGCCGAUGGUACUGCGUCAAGUGGGAGAGUAGGUAGUCGCCGUUU